Megalobrama amblycephala (Wuchang bream) is the source of this 2495-nucleotide long non-coding RNA. RefSeq lists it as uncharacterized. Lineage: Eukaryota; Metazoa; Chordata; Actinopteri; Cypriniformes; Xenocyprididae. The transcript has 4 exons. The record is from RefSeq and is a predicted model, not a curated record.
GAAGCCAGAUGCCUUCGGAAUGCUGGAGAUAAUGGAGCUUCAUCUAGAACAAUAACCUCACAGAAUUAAAGAGGUUAAAUAGACAAUAAUCUCACAGAAUUAAGAGGUUAAAUAGACAAUAAUCUCACAGAAUUAAGAGGUUAAAUAGACAGUAACCUCACAGAAUUAAAGAGGUUAAAUAGACAGUAACCUCACAGAAUUAAGAGGUUAAAUAGACAAUAACCUCACAGAAUUAAGAGGUUAAAUAGACAAUAACCUCACAGAAUUAAAGAGGUUAAAUAGACAGUAACCUCAUAGACAAUAAUCUCACAGAAUUAGAGGUUAAAUAGACAAUAACCUCACAGAAUUAAGAGGUUAAAUAGACAAUAACCUCACAGAAUUAAAGAGGUUAAAUAGACAAUAACCUCACAGAAUUAAGAGGUUAAAUAGACAAUAACCUCACAGAAUUAAAGAGGUUAAAUAGACAAUAACCUCACAGAAUUAAGAGGUUAAAUAGACAAUAACCUCACAGAAUUAAAGAGGUUAAAUAGACAGUAACCUCACAGAAUUAAAGAGGUUAAAUAGACAAUAACCUCACAGAAUUAAAGAGGUUAAAUAGACAAUAAUCUCACAGAAUUAAGAGGUUAAAUAGACAAUAAUCUCACAGAAUUAAGAGGUUAAAUAGACAGUAACCUCACAGAAUUAAAGAGGUUAAAUAGACAAUAACCUCACAGAAUUAAAGAGGUUAAAUAGACAAUAAUCUCACAGAAUUAAGAGGUUAAAUAGACAGUAACCUCACAGAAUUAAAGAGGUUAAAUAGACAAUAACCUCACAGAAUUAAAGAGGUUAAAUAGACAAUAACCUCACAGAAUUAAGAGGUUAAAUAGACAGUAACCUCACAGAAUUAAGAGGUUAAAUAGACAAUAAUCUCACAGAAUUAAGAGGUUAAAUAGACAGUAACCUCACAGAAUUAAGAGGUUAAAUAGACAAUAACCUCACAGAAUUAAAGAGGUUAAAUAGACAAUAAUCUCACAGAAUUAAGAGGUUAAAUAGACAAUAACCUCACAGAAUUAAGAGGUUAAAUAGACAAUAACCUCACAGAAUUAAGAGGUUAAAUAGACAAUAACCUCACAGAAUUAAAGAGGUUAAAUAGACAAUAACCUCACAGAAUUAAGAGGUUAAAUAGACAAUAACCUCACAGAAUUAAAGAGGUUAAAUAGACAAUAACCUCACAGAAUUAAAGAGGUUAAAUAGACAAUAAUCUCACAGAAUUAAGAGGUUAAAUAGACAAUAACCUCACAGAAUUAAGAGGUUAAAUAGACAAUAACCUCACAGAAUUAAAGAGGUUAAAUAGACAAUAACCUCACAGAAUUAAGAGGUUAAAUAGACAAUAACCUCACAGAAUUAAGAGGUUAAAUAGACAAUAACCUCACAGAAUUAAAGAGGUUAAAUAGACAAUAACCUCACAGAAUUAAAGAGGUUAAAUAGACAAUAACCUCACAGAAUUAAGAGGUUAAAUAGACAAUAACCUCACAGAAUUAAAGAGGUUAAAUAGACAAUAACCUCACAGAAUUAAAGAGGUUAAAUAGACAGUAACCUCACAGAAUUAAGAGGUUAAAUAGACAAUAAUCUCACAGAAUUAAGAGGUUAAAUAGACAGUAACCUCACAGAAUUAAAGAGGUUAAAUAGACAAUAACCUCACAGAAUUAAAGAGGUUAAAUAGACAAUAAUCUCACAGAAUUAAGAGGUUAAAUAGACAGUAACCUCACAGAAUUAAAGAGGUUAAAUAGACAGUAACCUCACAGAAUUAAGAGGUUAAAUAGACAAUAACCUCACAGAAUUAAGAGGUUAAAUAGACAAUAACCUCACAGAAUUAAAGAGGUUAAAUAGACAGUAACCUCAUAGACAAUAAUCUCACAGAAUUAGAGGUUAAAUAGACAAUAACCUCACAGAAUUAAGAGGUUAAAUAGACAAUAACCUCACAGAAUUAAAGAGGUUAAAUAGACAAUAACCUCACAGAAUUAAGAGGUUAAAUAGACAAUAACCUCACAGAAUUAAAGAGGUUAAAUAGACAAUAACCUCACAGAAUUAAGAGGUUAAAUAGACAAUAACCUCACAGAAUUAAAGAGGUUAAAUAGACAGUAACCUCAUAGACAAUAAUCUCACAGAAUUAGAGGUUAAAUAGACAAUAACCUCACAGAAUUAAAGAGGUUAAAUAGACAAUAACCUCACAGAAUUAAAGAGGUUAAAUAGACAAUAACCUCACAGAAUUAAGAGGUUAAAUAGACAAUAACCUCACAGAAUUAAAGAGGUUAAAUAGACAGUAACCUCAUAGACAAUAAUCUCACAGAAUUAAGAGGUUAAAUAGACAGUAACCUCACAGAAUUAAAGAGGUUAAAUAGACAAUAACCUCACAGAAUUAAGAGGUUAAAUAGACAAUAACCUCACAGAAUUAAAGAGGUUAAAUAGACAAUAAUCUCACAGAAUUAAAGAGGUUAAAUAGACAAUAACCUCAC